GCUGGGUGUGGUGGCUGGCACCUGUAAUCCCAGCUACUUGGGAGGCUGAGGCGGGAGAAUCGCUUGAACCCAGGAGGUGGAGGUUGCAGUGAGCCAAGGUCACACCACUGCACUCCAACCUGGGUGACAUAGCGAGACUCUGUCUUAA
Molecule: unclassified non-coding RNA, 148 nt
Organism: Macaca fascicularis (crab-eating macaque)
Lineage: Eukaryota; Metazoa; Chordata; Mammalia; Primates; Cercopithecidae
Rfam family: Metazoan signal recognition particle RNA
About the family: The signal recognition particle (SRP) is a universally conserved ribonucleoprotein.
Source: Ensembl